GGACUGUAGCUCAGUGGCAGAGUGCUUGCCUAGCAUGUGUGAGGCACUGGGUUCGGUCCUCAGCACCA
RNAcentral lists this transfer RNA (68 nucleotides) under Marmota monax (woodchuck). RNAcentral's name for it is "tRNA.Ala". Lineage: Eukaryota; Metazoa; Chordata; Mammalia; Rodentia; Sciuridae. The record is from RNAcentral.